CAGAGCGUCAGGCGGAUGUUAAAGCUAAUUGAAGAGGAUGGAGAUUCAUUUGCUAAAAAGGCUGAAAUGUAUUAUCAGAAGAGGCCAGAAUUGAUUUCUCUUAUUGAAGAGUUCUACCGCAUGUACCGGUCUCUGGCCGAACGUUAUGAUCAUGUGACAGGAGAACUGAGGAAGAAUAUUCCAUCUGAUCUGCAAUCCCAGGGCUCAGGCAUUUCUGAUGUUUUGUCCGAACCGACCUCAGUAUGGCCCUCUCCUGUACAUGAACAGAGGCUGCCUCAUCGUAAAUCUGGGACCCAAGCUGCUGGUUUUGAAUUCUUUGUUGGUUCUGGUGGAAGCAGCUCUGAUCUUCAUAAAGAAGGAGAUGAAUCAUCUACUGUAACAGAUUAUGAGUCAGAAUCUGAUGACUCCCCAGUAAACAAUUACUCAGGUCUACUAGGGAAUGGUGGUGAUCAUGCACAGAACAGGAAGACAAUUGAACUAGAGAUUGAGUUACGUGAAAUGAAAGAGAAACUCUUGUUGCAUCAGGAGGAGAAUGGAGAUGGCUCAUUUAGGGAGGUGAGGAAUGAGAUUUCUGAAGAUGUUCUUGCUAGGAUUGUGGGAUAUGAGCAAGAGCUGAAGAUUGCUAAACAGAGGAUACUGCUUUCUGAAGAAGAGGCGG
RNAcentral lists this unclassified non-coding RNA (658 nucleotides) under Hevea brasiliensis (rubber tree). Lineage: Eukaryota; Viridiplantae; Streptophyta; Magnoliopsida; Malpighiales; Euphorbiaceae. The record is from RNAcentral.